AGCAGCAGCCACGGGAAUACAGAGGGUGCGAGCGUUAAUCGGAUUUACUGGGCGUAAAGCGUGCGUAGGCGGCUAAUUGAGUCGGAUGUGAAAUCCCCGAGCUUAACUUGGGAAUUGCAUUCGAUACUGGUUAGCUAGAGUGUGGGAGAGGAUGGUAGAAUUCCAGGUGUAGCGGUGAAAUGCGUAGAGAUCUGGAGGAAUACCGAUGGCGAAGGCAGCCAUCUGGCCUAACACUGACGCUGAGGUACGAAAGCAUGGGGAGCAAACAGGAUUAGAUACCCCGGUAGUCCCUGUCUCUUAUAC
This 303-nucleotide ribosomal RNA is filed under the name uncultured bacterium. Its description in RNAcentral is "partial 16S ribosomal RNA". It matches the Rfam family "Bacterial small subunit ribosomal RNA", at positions 507 to 807 of the family's 1533-position model. The record is from RNAcentral.